AUUGAACGCUGGCGGCAUGCCUUACACAUGCAAGUCGAACGGUAGAGGGGGGCAACCCCUUCGAGAGUGGCGAACGGGUGAGUAAUGCAUCGGAACGUGCCCAGUCGUGGGGGAUAGCCCGGGGAAACCCGGAUUAAUACCGCAUACGACCUGAGGGUGAAAGCGGGGGACUCGCAAGGGCCUCGCGCGAUUGGAGCGGCCGAUGUCGGAUUAGGUAGUUGGUGGGGUAAAGGCCUACCAAGCCUGCGAUCCGUAGCUGGUCUGAGAGGACGACCAGCCACACUGGGACUGAGACACGGCCCAGACUCCUACGGGAGGCAGCAGUGGGGAAUUUUGGACAAUGGGGGCAACCCUGAUCCAGCCAUGCCGCGUGCGGGAAGAAGGCCUUCGGGUUGUAAACCGCUUUUGUCAGGGAAGAAAUGUCCUGGGCUAAUACCCUGGGGGGAUGACGGUACCUGAAGAAUAAGCACCGGCUAACUACGUGCCAGCCGCCGCAGUAA
Molecule: ribosomal RNA, 500 nt
Filed under: uncultured bacterium
Lineage: Bacteria
Description: partial 16S ribosomal RNA
Rfam family: Bacterial small subunit ribosomal RNA
Source: RNAcentral